This is a long non-coding RNA of Bos taurus (domestic cattle), 1009 nucleotides long. Lineage: Eukaryota; Metazoa; Chordata; Mammalia; Artiodactyla; Bovidae. The record is from Ensembl.
CCUCAAGUCAGGGGCUUUGACUGUGAGGCUCUAUCUUUAAUUGAAACACCUGUUUAGAGACCAGCUGUUACCCCUUCGGUUUGUUCCAAACCCUUCAUAGCUUCUUCCUUUCUGUCCUCCUUUUUCUUUUCUAUUUAUAUUUUCCUAUUUUCUUUUCUCUCUGCAUUUCUAAUCCUGCACCUCUGUCUUCUAUAUGACCUAAUGUCAGCCUGCCUUGGACUCUAUUGGAAUCCAGCACUACCUGAUGGAAACUUGGCGUGGUCAGUGCCCACUGGUAACUGUCAAGGCCUUUCCAUGCCUCAGUUCAGCUCCCUGAGAAGCUAUCGAGUGUCACAGCAUGUCACAGGCCACAGGCCAGCACACGGAGGGGUUCAUCUGAUGUCAGGUUGUCAAAGAGCCAAGGAGACGGAGUUUUGAUCUUUCGGGGCUACAAUUUCAAAUGAUAAAUAGCCUAAUUCUGGGAGUUCUCUUUGGAGUAACAAUGGUAACCUGAGUGCAAGAAACACAAGGUGAGUCGAAUCUCAGCAAAUUAUUGUCCAUAAGUCAAUUUCAGUUCAGUUCAGUUCAGUCACUCAGUCGUGUCCGACUGUUUUCGACCCCGUGAAUCGCAGCACGCCAGGCCUCCCUGUCCAUCACCAACUCCCGGAGUUCACUGAGACUCACGUUCAUCCAGUCAGUGAUGCCAUCCAGCCAUCUCAUCCUCUGUCGUCCCCUUCUCCUCCUGCCCCCAAUCCCUCCCAGCAUCAGAGUCCUUUCCAAUGAGUCAACUCUUCGAUGGACAUAUACACACCGCCAUGUGAAAAGACAGACGGCUGCGGGAAGCUGCAGUGUGGCAAAAGGAGCUCAGCUCCCGGCUCUGUGAUGACCCGGGGGCGGGGCGGGGCAGGGGGAAGACACAGGACGCUGGGGAUCUGUGUGUAUUUAUAACUGCUUCACAUUGUUGUACAGCAGAGACUAACACAACACUGCAAUCCAAUUAUAUUCCAAUAAAAGAGUAUCUGCAACAUCU